GACAUCGGAGCGCAAGCUUCGGUUGAGGCGCCGUUGGGAUACCACCCUGAUCGCAUUUGAGUUCUAACCUCGUACCGUGAUCCGGUACAGGGACCGUGUCAGGUGGGCAGUUUGACUGGGGCGGUCGCCUCCUAAAGUGUAACGGAGGCGCCCUAAGGUUCCCUCAGAAUGGUUGGAAAUCAUUCGAAGAGUGUAAAGGCAUAAGGGAGCUUGACUGCGAGACAGACACGUCGAGCAGGGACGAAAGUCGGGCUUAGUGAUCCGGUGGUACCGCAUGGAAGGGCCAUCGCUCAACGGAUAAAAGCUACCCUGGGGAUAACAGGCUUAUCUCCCCCAAGAGUCCACAUCGACGGGGAGGUUUGGCACCUCGAUGUCGGCUCAUCGCAUCCUGGGGCUGAAGUAGGUCCCAAGGGUUGGGCUGUUCGCCCAUUAAAGCGGUACGCGAGCUGGGUUCAGAACGUCGUGAGACAGUUCGGUCCCUAUCUGUCGUGGGCGUAGGAAAUUUGAGAGGAGCUGUCCUUAGUACGAGAGGACCGGGAUGGACGCACCGCUGGUGUACCAGUUGUUCCGCCAGGAGCAUCGCUGGGUAGCUACGUGCGGAAGGGAUAAGCGCUGAAAGCAUCUAAGCGUGAAGCCCCCCUCAAGAUGAGAUUUCCCAGUAUGUAAGACCCCUUGUAGACGACGAGGU
Molecule: ribosomal RNA, 688 nt
Filed under: Paenibacillus sp. PsM32
Lineage: Bacteria; Bacillati; Bacillota; Bacilli; Caryophanales; Paenibacillaceae
Description: partial 23S ribosomal RNA
Rfam family: Bacterial large subunit ribosomal RNA
Source: RNAcentral